AGAGAUAACAACACUCGGUUUAGGGCAGUAUUUGCUCAGAUUGGUGUUUUUUUGUUGUUGUUUUUGUGUUUUUGAGACAGGGUCUCUCACUCUGUCGCCCAGGCUGGAGUGCAGAGGCACGAUCUCAUCUCAUUGCAACCUCCGCCUGCCAGGCUAAAGCGAUCCUCUCACCUCAGCCUCCCACGUAGCUGAGGCGGGAGAAUCCCUUGAACCCAGGAGGCAGAGAUUGUGGUGAGCCAAGAUUGCACCAAUGCACUCCAGCCUGGGCAGCAGAGCAAGACAGUCUCAAAAAAUAAUAUAAAAUAAACAUAAAGGCAGUAACAAGCACUGGGGAAUACAUAGAGGAACUGGAAUCCUGGUACAUGCAUUGCUGUUGAGAAUGUAAAACAGUGCGGCCGCCGCGAUGCUCAAAACGUUCAACAGAAUUAUUGGGAACCCAGCAGUUCCACUUCUAGGCAUGUGUCCAAAAGAAUUGAAAAUAGGUGUUCAAAUACUUGCAUACAAAUGUCCAUGGCAGCACAGUUUACAAUAAACAAGUAGCAGGAACGGAGCACAUGUCCAUCAGUGAUGGAUGGACACACAAAGUGUGGAAUGUCCACACAACGGAAUAUUAUGCAGCCAUGAAAAGGACUGAGGCACUGAUUCAUGUGAAAGAACCUUGAAAACGUUAUGCUAAGUGGAAAGAGCCAGACACGAAGGCCGCAGAGUGUUGGUUCCAUUCACCGCAGGGGAAACGACCGGAACUGGUAGAGCCGCAGCACAGGAAGCCGACCCCGUUACCGGGGGCCAGGGAGGGGGAGUGGGGGGUGAUUGCUUCAGAGCCACAAGCCCCUUUGGGGGUGACAAUGUUUCAGAACUCCACAGAGGUGAUGGUUGGACAACGUGGUAAAUAACUAAACGCCACUGGAUUUCAUUCUUUAAAAUGGUUAGUUUUAUGUUAUAUGAAUUUCACAUCAAUAAAAAGCAAAGGUGAAAAGGCCUCACCAUACUUUCA
This 994-nucleotide long non-coding RNA is filed under the name Homo sapiens (human). Its description in RNAcentral is "HSALNT0289690". The record is from RNAcentral. Lineage: Eukaryota; Metazoa; Chordata; Mammalia; Primates; Hominidae.